UCGGGAAUUUUGGGCAAUGGGCGAAAGCCUGACCCAGCAACGCCGCGUGAAGGAUGAAGUAUUUCGGUAUGUAAACUUCGAAAGAAUAGGAAGAAUAAAUGACGGUACUAUUUAUAAGGUCCGGCUAACUACGUGCCAGCAGCCGCGGUAAUACGUAGGGACCAAGCGUUGUUCGGAUUUAUUGGGCGUAAAGCGUGUGUAGGCGGCUCUGUGCGUCUCGUGUUAAAGACCACCGCUCAACGGUGGAAAUGCGCGGGAUACGGCAGGGCUUGAGGAGGUUAGAGGUGCUUGGAACUCACGGUGUAGGGGUGACAUCCGUUGAUAUCGUGGGGAACACCAAAGGCGAAGGCAGAGCACUGGGACCUUUCUGACGCUGAGACACGAAAGCGUGGGGAGCAAAAAGGAUUAGAUACCCGAGUAGUCCCUGAGCGGGCUGGCAAGGCGCAU
Molecule: ribosomal RNA, 447 nt
Filed under: uncultured bacterium
Lineage: Bacteria
Description: bacterial SSU rRNA
Rfam family: Bacterial small subunit ribosomal RNA
Source: RNAcentral